AUACUUUUUUCUAGAAAAUCGGUUAAACUUGAAAAUAUUUUAUGUUAGAUAACUUUAGGAAUUUAUUCAGGAUGAACGGAGUAAGUAACGUGAUGAUAUUCUUUCAAAAAAAGUAAAGUGAUGAUAUGACAUUAAAACUAAAGAAAAAGAGGAUAAAAUAAGAAAGUAUGUCUAUAACAAAACCAAGAUAUAAACAAAUAUGAUAGGUGAAUAAUGUAGAGAUAAGAUAUGUUAUUGGAAAAAAUAUAUUUUUAAAAAAUAUAUGUUAAAAUCUAGUUUCUAUAUGUAGUAUCUACGUGAAUUGACAAGUAUAGAACCUAGUUCAUACUCCCCCUGUCUUCUAAUUAGUUCGUUCUAUAGAUUUUAGGAUAGAAAGAACAGAAAACGCAUGUAUGUGCUCUCACAUUAUUUUAUAAGACCAGUAUUAAUGGAGAAUUUCAUAACAUAGUUAUCUAGGCUGGCACGUUAGCUUUUGUGUUAAUAACUGUAACAAUAGGUUUUAUUUAAAUGAAACUCUCUCUUUCAUAAAUAAUCUGCUAAGUCAUCAUUUUUGUCGAUGUGUCAGAGGAGUAAGUGCAAAUAAAACUUAAAUAAAAGCUCCCAGAGAUUGGUCUAACCAAACACUAUCAUAAACCUGAUUAAUGAUGAUUAUUUGCUAAAUGACAAGUAAUAUAAUAACUACCAACUUUAUGUAGCUAUUUAGUACAAAGUUGUUUUAUCCCUUAGGGUCCCUUAUAGGUAUAAAUCUAGAUGCUUGUAAGUGCUAUAUUACAUGAUAGAUAGAUUAGCUUAUAGGUUAGAAUUGUCCUUGUCACGUGAGCUCAACUCUUCCACCUGAUCUGUCCAUUUCUUAUCUACUCUCUCCAUGUCAAGUUAUAAGUCAUCCUAAUUUUAUCAAAUUCACUGAUCUCUCGGCCCCUAACUUGGUGCAUAUAAUGAUUGUUUUUAAGUCAUCCCAUAAUAAAUAACAAUUCUUUUUAAUUUAGACAUAUAACAAAAGCAAAGUUGUGAGUUGUAUAAGAACAAUAACUCACAAACUGGUACAAUAACGACAUAUUUCUCUCUCACAUCUCUCUUCUCUAUAUUAUCAAUAAUUUUACACAACACUAUAUGAGCGUAUAAAACCAUUGAUGCUUAGAAUGUAUUUAACCGUAACUAAAACGGGUGCGCGUGGAGAUCUGAAGGGCAUGGGGACCUUUUACACGACACUGCAGCUGGCUGUUUGUAGUGUGACCUUGUUUAGUUCAAAAAAAUUUUAGAAAAGGGAUGAAGUAGUAUUUUUGUUUGUAUGUGAUAAAUAUUGUCUAAUUAUAGACUAACUAAAUUUAAAAGAUUUGUCUCGUA
Molecule: long non-coding RNA, 1344 nt
Filed under: Sorghum bicolor (sorghum)
Lineage: Eukaryota; Viridiplantae; Streptophyta; Magnoliopsida; Poales; Poaceae
Description: long non-coding RNA (SBIC_LNC000162)
Source: RNAcentral